UAACGAUGCGGUGCUGCAAUUUUAAAAAAUACAUAAAAAAUGGAAAUUGAUAGUGAGGAAGAGAUAAUGUGUACGCCACCGGAGAUAACAGAAGCUGCAAAAAUCACUUCCCUGAAUUUAUUGCCUGAGAAAUCCCGAAAUGUUUACGUAUCUGUGUACAACACCUUUAUGGACUGGAGGGCAAGCAAGAAUAUUAGUUCAUUCUCAGAGUCAGUUUUGCUGGUAUAUUUUACAGAAUUAGCUGCAAAAUAUAAGCCAUCCACAUUAUGAACACAUUACUCUAUGCUUAGGAGUACGCUUAAUAUAAAUCAAGAAGUCAAUAUAGAAAAAUAUAUAAAACUGCGUUCACUUUUAAAACGGAGGUCUGAAGGCUUUUAUCCGAAGAAAGCAUGUUAUUGAAGCAUGUGAUAAAAAAUAUCUUGCAAUCAAGCCUUUUUUGAAUACAAUGAAAAAAAAACAAUGUGUACUUAUAUACAUAGCAAAAGCUAAUAGGGGCCAACUCAGGCAACAUUGAAAUGCAGCCUGUUCUACUGCUAGCUCCUCAUAAAUAAACAAAAUUAGGUACAUCUUAAUACAAUUAAAAAACUUGUUUAAAUAAUAUUAAUGAAAUAUAAUUCUUUGUUAUGAGGUUACAAUGAUAAUGGAAAUAAUGGGUGCAUGCCGGGCAAAUGAAAUGUAUAACAUGAAAAUGGAAGACAUAAAAGACCUUGGAUCAACCUUUUUGGUAAAUGUGCCCAAUACCAAAACAAAAAUCAAUAGAAAAUUUACUAUUACUGAUAAUUUUUAUCAGAUUCUUAAAAAAUACAUCGAUCUCCGUCCGGCAUAUGUAACUUCUCAGGCGUUUUUUAUGAAUUACCAAAAUGACAAGUGCACUUCACAAAGGAUCGGUAUUAACAAAUUCACAAAAAUGGGAAGACAAAUAGCUGAGUUUUUGAAACUGUCAAAUCCCGAGAAAUAUUCCGGACAUAGUUUCCGCAAAUAGUCUGCAACUUUACUCGUCGAUGCAGGUGGAGACAUAACAACACUAAAGAGACACGAGGGUUGGAAAUCCACAUCGGUCGGGGAGGGCUACAUUGAUGAAUCAAUUAAAAAUAAAAUGGAUACAGCUCAGAAAAUAUCGAAUUCAAUACAAGAGACUACUAUACGUAACUACCAAACUGAAAAUAUCAAUCAGAUUAGUUCUAUAAGUAAAGAAAAUAUUAAUUUAAAUAUAAACUCCCCACCUUCGUUCAAUAUUAGUCAUUGCUCAAAUACAAAUAUUACAAUUAAUAUAAAUAAAUAAGUUAAAUAGUUUUAUAAUUUAUAACAAAUAAUUACUAUCACAAGUAUUUUUGAUUUUUUGUUUUGUUAAUGUCAAGUAACGAUAAAUAAAGUUCUUUUCGUAUGA
Non-coding RNA from Onthophagus taurus, 1387 nucleotides. The record is from RefSeq and is a predicted model, not a curated record. Lineage: Eukaryota; Metazoa; Arthropoda; Insecta; Coleoptera; Scarabaeidae.